UACGGAGGGUGCUAGCGUUGUUCGGAAUUACUGGGCGUAAAGCGCGUGUAGGCUGUUAGAUAAGUUGGGAGUGAAAUCCCAGGGCUCAACCCUGGAAUUGCUUCCAAAACUAUCUAGCUAGAGUUUGGUAGGGGAUGGCGGAAUUCCUAGUGUAGAGGUGAAAUUCGUAGAUAUUAGGAGGAACAUCAGAGGCGAAGGCGGCCAUCUGGACCAAUACUGACGCUGAGACGCGAAAGCGUGGGGAGCAAACAGG
RNAcentral lists this ribosomal RNA (253 nucleotides) under uncultured bacterium. RNAcentral's name for it is "partial 16S ribosomal RNA". It matches the Rfam family "Bacterial small subunit ribosomal RNA", at positions 524 to 776 of the family's 1533-position model. The record is from RNAcentral.